Long non-coding RNA from Drosophila biarmipes, 1074 nucleotides. RefSeq lists it as uncharacterized. The transcript has 2 exons. NCBI's taxonomy places the organism in Eukaryota, Metazoa, Arthropoda, Insecta, Diptera, Drosophilidae. The record is from RefSeq and is a predicted model, not a curated record.
UUUUCAUCUUCUAGAAGUCACUUAUAAGUGUCUUCCGCGAUAGGAAAUGCAUGCAGGGUUAGUUCUGCAGUACCUUCGCCGGGUCAUGUCCGAGCGCAAAAAGCUGAUUUGUUUUUUUUCUGCCUGUAUGCUGCUGUCGACGUCAGCAGAGAAUUCGGAGCAGCGUAGAAGACUUUCGACAAAAACAUUUCGUUAAAAAAGAAAGGCAGAUCUUCGGAUAUUACCCUCUCUUAUUAUCUGCCUGCCUGCAACAUUCGGACGAUGCUCUCUUUUGCGUCUCUCCGUUAUGUUUAGAAAGAAACCAAAAGAAUAAGAAGAUCUGUGCAUUCUGUUUGAGCUAUGAAAAGAGGAGCAGCGGCUGUUUAAAUUGUGCGCUGCGACACAUUUGAAUUUAUUACAAAAAGUGAUAUUUUUUGAAAAAAAAAGUCAGAUUUUUUAAAGGUUUUAUAACAUAACUCAAAAAAUUCUGGUCCCGUUACCCGUAAGUGGCGUGAUGAAAUCCCUCAAAAUGUUUUAAGCAGUUUGAAAAGGUAAAUAUACAAGUAAAAUACAUUUUAAACACAUGCUCUUAUAUUUUUCAGGAGCGUUAAACAGGGAAGCAAACAAGAAAAGUUAAAUAUUAAAAACCAAUCCAAAAAAAUAGACUUCUCAAUAAUAAUUGUACUUCUACAGAAAUUGUAAAUGAUACAAUUUACAUAAAAUAUAGUGAAAAGUUAAUUAAUAUGUAUGUAUUUUAAAUUCAAUAAUUUCCGACGGGAUUUCACGGGAAAGUCAUGGAAAAAUCGCGAAUUUCCGACGGGAUUUCCCCGGGACGUGUCCCUUGUACGAGAAAAUACAUGGAAAAAUCGCGAAUUUCCGAUGGGAUUUCCCUGGGACGUUUCCAGUGCAUAACAGGAAACCCGGGGGACUUCGAUAGGAGGUUUUUCCCGGGUAACUUUUAUUUUGGUACCGAAGGAUUAUUACAUUUAUUUGGAAUUUUUGUUGUGACGUCAUAUGUGAGUUUCGACAAAUUUGUCACAAAACCUUACUCGUCCUUUUUUACUGAUUUUUUUUAAUUUUGUAUUAAUUUAGUAA